RNAcentral lists this ribosomal RNA (497 nucleotides) under uncultured bacterium. Its description in RNAcentral is "partial 16S ribosomal RNA". It matches the Rfam family "Bacterial small subunit ribosomal RNA", at positions 28 to 507 of the family's 1533-position model. The record is from RNAcentral.
GAUGAACGCUGGCGGCGUGCCUAAUACAUGCAAGUCGAGCGAACAGACAAGGAGCUUGCUCCUCUGACGUUAGCGGCGGACGGGUGAGUAACACGUGGAUAACCUUCCUAUAAGACGGGGAUAACUUCGUGAAACCGGAGCUAAUACCGGAUAAUAUAUUGAACCGCAUGGAUCAAUAGUGAAAGACGGUUUUGCUGUCACUUAUAGAUGGAUCCGCGCCGCAUUAGCUAGUUGGUAAGGUAACGGCUUACCAAGGCAACGAUGCGUAGCCGACCUGAGAGGGUGAUCGGCCACACUGGAACUGAGACACGGUCCAGACUCCUACGGGAGGCAGCAGUAGGGAAUCUUGCGCAAUGGGCGAAAGCCUGACGGAGCAACGCCGCGUGAGUGAUGAAGGUCUUCGGAUCGUAAAGCUCUGUUAUUAGGGAAGAACAAAUGUGUAAGUAACUAUGCACGUCUUGACGGUACCUAAUCAGAAAGCCACGGCUAACUACGUG